AACAACCAAUUGAGCAGCGAAUUUGUUCCACUGAAGAUUUACUAAUCACGACACAUGAUCAGCAUGUUAUUUCAGCGAAUUUGCUAAUUCAUCAGAGCUCUCAACGACCAGGAUUACAACAUCAAGAUUCCAACGAUCAACCUGAUGUUGCAACCAAUUUGUUUGUUCCUCAGAGCACUGAACGAGCAGUAGAUCAUCAUCAAGAGGAUACCCUUUUGACAGAGACGAACGAUCAGCCCAAUGUUGCCGCCGUUUUUGAAAUUCCUCA
This is a long non-coding RNA of Helianthus annuus (common sunflower), 268 nucleotides long. RefSeq lists it as uncharacterized. The record is from RefSeq and is a predicted model, not a curated record. The transcript is spliced from 3 exons. Lineage: Eukaryota; Viridiplantae; Streptophyta; Magnoliopsida; Asterales; Asteraceae.